GACGAACGCUGGCGGCGUGCUUAACACAUGCAAGUCGAACGGAAAGGCCCUGCUUGCAGGGUGCUCGAGUGGCGAACGGGUGAGUAACACGUGGGUGAUCUGCCCCUUACUUUGGGAUAAGCCUGGGAAACUGGGUCUAAUACUGGAUAGGACCAUGCUGUAGGUGGUGUGGUGGAAAGAUUAGUUUCGGUAAGGGAUGAGCUCGCGGCCUAUCAGCUUGUUGGUGGGGUAAUGGCCUACCAAGGCGUCGACGGGUAGCCGGCCUGAGAGGGUGGACGGCCAAAUUGGGAUGGGGAAACGGCCCAGACUCCUCGGGGGGGCAGCAGGGGGGAAUAUGGCACAAUGGGGGAAAGCCUGAUGCAGCGACGCCGGGUGGGGGAUGAGGGCCUUGGGGUUGUAAACUCCUUUAAGCCAUGACAAAGCCCUUGGGGGGAAGGUAGGGGUAGAAGAAGCACCGGCUAACUACG
Molecule: ribosomal RNA, 467 nt
Filed under: uncultured bacterium
Lineage: Bacteria
Description: partial 16S ribosomal RNA
Rfam family: Bacterial small subunit ribosomal RNA
Source: RNAcentral